This is an RNA transcript of Ipomoea nil (Japanese morning glory), 838 nucleotides long. RefSeq lists it as uncharacterized. The transcript is spliced from 2 exons. Lineage: Eukaryota; Viridiplantae; Streptophyta; Magnoliopsida; Solanales; Convolvulaceae. The record is from RefSeq and is a predicted model, not a curated record.
GAAGAAGCUUGAGAAAGAUUGGAGCUUCAUAUUUAUGGUUUUUAUUUUUUAUCUGUUUCAAUAUGUUUUUUUCUUCUUCUGUCAUGUGGUAGGGCAAAAAUUGUAUGUGUUACGAUUGAUUUCCAUUACUUUUCACUUUUCAGUUUGAUCUGAGAGUAAAGAAAGUUCAAGCUUGAUUUUGAUAUUGUUUUCUCCUUUUAAAAUAUCUGUCUAUGUUUUCUUUUUUAAUCCACAGGUGGAAAGGCAAAGCCUUUGAAGCAGCCAAAGGCUGAUAAGAAAGAGUACGACGAGGACAGAGGUGGCUCGACAUUGACUCGCCCACUUCUCGUUACGCUGGUUCGUCGCUGCUGAUCCAGGGAGAAGGAGCGAGAGAAAAAGGCGGUGGUGGUGGAGCAAGGUCGCCGUGGACAAGCUUCAAUUUGCCGGAAACCCAGCAGGUGAAAUAAAACAAGAGCCCAUCCUCCAUGUAUGUAUAGGUUGGUAUGUGUAUAUCUAGAGUUGAAAGAGGACGAGGGAGAGACCCCGGAGAGAGAGAUGGAGUUGUUGUACAUUCCUUAACGGACAGAAAGAGAAGUAAGAAGUUGAUGAUGUUGUGGUUGGCUUGGCAUUUAGAGGCUGAAGGAGAGGGAGACGUGAGAGAUGGUGGCUAUGGAGGAUCGAAUGUUGUGUAUUAUGGUGAAUGCAAGUUAGGAAGGAGGUAUGUGCGUUUUCAAUUAUGAGUUUGUGCUUCCCAUGUGAGUGCAUAUUUUAGUGUGUUCGAGAUAAUGUGCGGGUAAUGUGCACCGUUGGUGGUUGGGUGUUCUGGUUCAUGCGUAUCGACUUUCCAAACAUUUAUAAA